UAAUACGUAGGGUGCGAGCGUUAAUCGGAAUUACUGGGCGUAAAGCGUGCGCAGGCGGUUUUGUAAGCCAGACGUGAAAUCCCCGGGCUUAACCUGGGAAUGGCGUUUGGGACUGCAAGGCUUGAGUAUGGCAGAGGGGACUAGAAUUCCUGGUGUAGCAGUGAAAUGCGUAGAUAUCAGGAGGAAUACCGAUGGCGAAGGCAGGUCCCUGGGUUAAUACUGACGCUCAUGCACGAAAGCGUGGGGAGCAAACAGGAUUAGAUACCCUGGUAGUCCACGCCCUAAACUAUGUCAACUGGUUGUUGGGGGUUUGACACUCUCAGUAACGAAGCUAACGCGUGAAGUUGACCGCCUGGGGAGUACGGCCGCAAGGUUAAAACUUAAAUGAAUUGACGG
Molecule: ribosomal RNA, 396 nt
Filed under: uncultured bacterium
Lineage: Bacteria
Description: bacterial SSU rRNA
Rfam family: Bacterial small subunit ribosomal RNA
Source: RNAcentral